Molecule: ribosomal RNA, 479 nt
Filed under: uncultured Gammaproteobacteria bacterium
Lineage: Bacteria; Pseudomonadati; Pseudomonadota; Gammaproteobacteria
Description: bacterial SSU rRNA
Rfam family: Bacterial small subunit ribosomal RNA
Source: RNAcentral
AUUGAACGUUGGCGGCACGCCUAAUACAUGCAAGUCGAACGAGAAAGCACUUCGGUGUGAGUACAGUGGCGGACGGGUGAGUAACGCGUAGGAAUCUACCUAGUAGUGGGGGACAACUCGGGGAAACUCGAGCUAAUACCGCAUACGCUCUAAGGAGGAAAGUGGGGGACCUUUGGGCCUCACGCUAUUAGAGGAGCCUGCGUUAGAUUAGCUAGUUGGUGAGGUAAAGGCUCACCAAGGCUACGAUCUAUAGCUGGUCUGAGAGGACGAUCAGCCACACUGGAACUGAGACACGGUCCAGACUCCUACGGGAGGCAGCAGUAGGGAAUCUUGGGCAAUGGGCGAAAGCCUGACCCAGCGAUGCCGCGUGUGCGAAGAAGGCCUUAGGGUUGUAAAGCACUUUCAGUUGCGAAGAAAAGCUGCGAUUUAAUACAUCGCGGUCUUGACGUUAACAACAGAAGAAGUACCGGCUAACUCCG